UCCCAUCCCGGCAUCUUCAGAAUUUCAUCGAACAUAGACGUAUCUCCGCGAUCAUUAAUGGACGUUGAUGAAAGAAAAUCAUACCUGUUCUGGUCUUCCUCGUCCACAAGAGACAUGAGCAAACGUGGUCGUUUCGACGAUGCUGGUGAUUCAAGGAAACGAUAGGUAAAAUAGCUGGAGGAGAUUACGGAAUACCAGUGUUGUGAGACGCGCAUUGCCCUCGUCACCUGUUUCACU
Long non-coding RNA from Arabidopsis thaliana (thale cress), 237 nucleotides. RefSeq annotates it as other RNA. Lineage: Eukaryota; Viridiplantae; Streptophyta; Magnoliopsida; Brassicales; Brassicaceae. The record is from RefSeq. The transcript has a single exon.